Molecule: ribosomal RNA, 406 nt
Filed under: uncultured bacterium
Lineage: Bacteria
Description: partial 16S ribosomal RNA
Rfam family: Bacterial small subunit ribosomal RNA
Source: RNAcentral
AUUGAACGCUGGCGGCAGGCCUAACACAUGCAAGUCGAGCGAGCGUCGGACGGGUGAGUAAUGUCUGGGAAACUGUCUGAUGUAGGGGGAUAACUACUGGAAACGGUAGCUAAUACCGCAUACCAUCAGAUGUGCCCAUAUGGGAUUUGCUGGUAAGUGGGGUAACGGCUCGCUUAGGGGACGAUCCCUAACUGGUCUGAGUGGAUGACCAGCCAAACGGAAACUGAGACACGGUCCAGACGCCUACGGGAGGCAGCAGUGGGGAAGAGUGCACAUUGGGCGCAAGCCUGAUGCAGCCAUGCCGCGUGUGUGAAAGAGGCCUUCGGGUUGUGAGGCGCUUUCAGCGGGGAGGCGUUACCCGCGGAAGAAGCACCGGCUAACUCCGUGCCAGCAGCCGCGGUAAUAC